Molecule: ribosomal RNA, 929 nt
Filed under: uncultured Entomoneis
Lineage: Eukaryota; Bacillariophyta; Bacillariophyceae; Surirellales; Surirellaceae
Description: partial Bacterial large subunit ribosomal RNA
Rfam family: Bacterial large subunit ribosomal RNA
Source: RNAcentral
AUAACGGUCCUAAGGUAGCGAAAUUCCUUGGCAUUUAAUUGGUGUCCUGCAUGAAAGGCGUAACGACUGUUCUACUGUCUCCAACAUAAACUUUGUGAAAUUGAAUUUUUUGUGAAGAUGCAAAAUUAUUGCGGCUAGACGGAAAGACCCUGUGCACCUUUACUAUAUUUAUAUAUUGUUAUGAAAAUUUAAGUGUAAAGUAUAAGUGGUAAUUUGUAAAUUUUUUGCGUAAGCAAAUCAAAAUAAAAUAAAAUUGAAAUACCACUCUUUUAAAUUUUUCAUGACUAAUUUUAAAACAUUUUAUAAAAGGUAGUUUGACUGGGGCGGUGGCCUCCAAAAGAGUAACGGAGGCGUAUAAAAGGUAAAUUAAAAUUGAAUUUCAAUUUUUUAGCACAAUAGUAUAUAUUUGCUUGACUGCUAGAUUGACAAAUCAAACAGGGACGAAAGUCGAUUAUAGUGAUCCGAUAUUUUUUUGUAGAAAAAAUAUCGCUCAACGAAUAAAAGGUACGCCAGGGAUAACAGGCUAAUCAUUUUUUAGAGACCAUAUCGAUGAAAUGGUUUGGCACCUCGAUGUUGGAUUAUCGCAUCCUAGAGCUGCAAAUGGUUCUAAGGGUUUGGCUGUUCGCCACUUAAAGCGGUACAUGAUCUGAGUUUAGAACGUCGUGAGACAGUUUGGUCCCUAUCUACCGUAUUUAAAUAAAAAUUGCGAGGAUUAAAUUCUAGUACGAGAGGACCGAAAAAAGCAAAUCUCUGGUAAAUCGAUUGUUAAACCAUUAGCAAAGUCGAGUAGCUAAAUUUGUAAUAAAUAAUUGCUGAAAGCAUCUAAGCAAGAAAUUAGCCUCAAGAUAAAUUUUUAGCAAUAUAAAAGACUAUUAUAUCGAUAGGCUUAAAGUGCAAGAGUUGUAAAAUUUUAAGCUUAUAAGUACUAA